UCCGGGUUGCUCCCGGCGGUCUCGCCAGAAAAGGUAACUGGCGACGAGGGUUGCGCUCGUUGCGGGACUUAACCCAACAUCUCACGACACGAGCUGACGACAGCCAUGCAGCACCUGUGCACGGACUCCGAAGGGAGACCGUGUUUCCACGGCUGUCACCUACAUGUCAAGCCCAGGUAAGGUUCUUCGCGUUGCGUCGAAUUGAACCACAUGCUCCUCCGCUUGUGCGGGCCCCCGUCAAUUCCUUUGAGUUUCAGUCUUGCGACCGUACUCCCCAGGCGGCGAACUUAACGCGUUAGCUUCGAUACUGAGUGCCUAGUUGCACCCAACAUCCAGUUCGCAUCGUUUAGGGCGUGGACUAC
Molecule: unclassified non-coding RNA, 362 nt
Filed under: uncultured bacterium
Lineage: Bacteria
Description: contains 16S-23S intergenic spacer region
Source: RNAcentral